RNAcentral lists this ribosomal RNA (253 nucleotides) under uncultured bacterium. RNAcentral's name for it is "partial 16S ribosomal RNA". It matches the Rfam family "Bacterial small subunit ribosomal RNA", at positions 524 to 776 of the family's 1533-position model. The record is from RNAcentral.
UACAGAGGGGGCAAGCGUUGUUCGGAAUUACUGGGCGUAAAGGGCGCGUAGGCGGCCCGCUAAGUCGAACGUGAAAUCCCCGGGCUCAACCCGGGAACUGCGUCCGAUACUGGUGGGCUUGAAUCCGGGAGAGGGAUGCGGAAUUCCUGGUGUAGCGGUGAAAUGCGCAGAUAUCAGGAGGAACACCGGUGGCGAAGGCGGGUCUCUGGGCCGAUACUGACGCUGAGGAGCGAAAGCGUGGGGAGCAAACAGG